Molecule: long non-coding RNA, 5140 nt
Filed under: Triticum aestivum (bread wheat)
Lineage: Eukaryota; Viridiplantae; Streptophyta; Magnoliopsida; Poales; Poaceae
Description: long non-coding RNA (TAES_LNC005853)
Source: RNAcentral
ACACGACGGCGGGAUCCGCCGCGCCGUCAAGAGAGACUGCUGAAAGGUGCGUGGUUGUUACCGCUGCUGUCGUUCCUACUUCCUAGUGGUCAGAUUGCGCACAGUAGCUUUUAAUUUUCCCGGAACGAGGGGCGGGGGGAGGGUUGCGCCUUCGACACGACUGAUGAUUUGCUGCCCGGCGUGUCACAUGAAGAUUCGUAGAACAGCGAUAGGAAAAAGGCAUGUGCAGUGACCCUGUCUGCAUUGCAGGAUUCAGGGAAAUUGACAGUUGUAUGCAAAGGUUAAUUUGUUAACAAAUUGGAGUGUGAGUCUGGUUAAGAAAUCUUUUUUGAAACAACAUCCCGUGACCGCGAUGCUAUUUCUAACGCGGUUGUCGUUAGCGAAAGUUCGUAUGUGUCAAACCAACCAUUUGACAUUAGCAGGGUUGGCUUCAGGUGAGGUGAAUCGUCCAUUAACUUGUGAAGCACUUCGCCUUGCUGGACGAAAGCACGCGGAAGCUUUCUACCGGCCUUGAUGGCUCGUUCUUCCCGCUGCCAAGAUCUGCAUCAUUCAGUGUGUGGAUGGGAUAACAUUCUUUUAAACCGCCGCUUACCUAAAAGGGUGCCAAGACGUAACGUUUAAGUUGACUGCUUUGCAUUACAGGAAUGCUUGCGAAGCUCGCCCAAACUUGAACACAUCAACAGCUUGGUAGUAUUAAAUGACUGACUAAUGAAUUUCUCAGCGUUUCAUUUAGAUUUAAGAUUAUCUCAAUCUCGUUUAGCAUCGUGUGCAUGUGUGUAUUGUCACCAAGCCAUUUAAAACUUCUAGAAUGCUGGAGGUUAUUUACUGUACCUUCUCGUUUGCCCGAUCAUGGGAAGUUGGUGAUGGUUGUGUACAAGAAAAGAAGUUUAACUAACACAGGGAAGAUGCAGUGGUAUCAGUACGGAACCAUUAUUUGUUGCUAGUGAUGAGACAUACUAAUGACCGCUGAAAGGUAGCUUCUACCUUCCGCAUCUAGUUUAUAUUUAUCAGAAGACUGCUAGCAGGUUGCAUACUUAGAAGAUAUGUUCACAUUGCCGUAUCCAUACUGAUCCGCGCUGUGUUUCUGGAGUUACCUGAUGAACAACGACACUGAAAUAUAUUAUAGCUGGAAGCUUCAUAUAUAAUACUUUUACUUAAUCCAACAUGAUGCUGUCAUGAAGAAGGAAAUUUUCAUUUGUGUAGGGCAAAUAUGGAAUAUCAUGAUAGGCAAGUGAACAAGUGAUCAUAAUGUUUCUUAUUUUGGUCUUAUCUACAACAGAUUAUCCAGCAGUCGGUGUUGUAAAGGCGUACAUUGUAUGUACCAAUGCAUAUCACUGCUAUAUAGUAUAAUCUUCAAUGCUUCCAGCCUCCUACAGCAUUUGCAAAUUAUCCCGCUGAUCACAAUUUUCUGUUAUUUCAUACAGCAAAGAUAAUAGAAUAAUGGUUUUAUUUUUUAACAAGUCUGGGCAUGUUGAGCUAAGUCCUGCAAAUCGAUGGAUGUAUCCUUUGUGUAAACAAGAAAAAAGUCCUCCCUCAACUGAUAAAGAACAAAAUUUAUGGUUUUGCAUGCUAAUUAGUAUUACAAUCCCUGAUCGAUCAUAGUCUCUAUGAACACACAUAUACAUAACCUCAUAUUGACUGCCGCUGUGUCUGGGAGAGGCUGCUGUAUUGACAUGUUGAAUAUUGUUGAAAUCUUUAGAUACUGUUCCAGUAAUUUGUUCGUUGUGCGUUGGCGCUCAUGAUUUUUCUUCUUCUUGAAAUAUCUGUGGCAGAUCCUCAAUAGUGUGCAGUUUACUGAUUUCGAACAAGGAAAAAACAUAUCGUACCAAAGCAGACUCUCCUCUUGAGGGUGAUACUUGCCAUGCCCUUGAUACCAGUGGUUGUCGUACUCCUUUUGAGUUUGUUCACGUUGGUGGCCUAAUAAUUGAUUGGCCAACUAAAUCACUAUUAUAUCUUCAGCUUCAUGGUUACUGUCCACUAACACGUUAUGAACGGGUUGGUUUUCCAAAGGAGCAGUCUGGCUUGUCUAGAGAGUGAGGCACAGGCUUACAACAGCAUUCACAUUCAUUUCCUAAUGAGGUAAGCCUAUCAAUGUUCUCUGUUGGUUGGAUUCGUUUGUUUUAUGCACCAUUGAUCAAUUCGAAUGUCAAAGAAGCAACAACCAUGUUCUUUCCGUGACAACUUAAUGCUCAUCUUAGUUUAACUGUGUACUACAAGAAAGCAGUAAGGUUAACAAGGGUUGGUGGAGAGUAGAGGUUCUUCAUCUAGGUUCUACAUGCCAGUAUUUAGCUGGUCACGUUUUUUAUCAUGUACAAUUUUUAUGUGAUUCUAGCACCAAGAUAGAAAAUUGUGUUGUUGGAUUAUGCUCCAAAAUCCCAGUUUCAGAUAAGAAAUGCUCAUCAUGUGAUAAUUCACCUACAUUCUUGGAUUUUUGUCAGAUUCAUUCUAGCCAGGGCUCAGUAAAAUGAUGUUGGUUUGACGGGAUACAACGGUCUACAAACCUUCUCAAAAAGCAAUGUGAUUAAUGCCUUUUGUGUCAUGUGCGCGUUUGUUGAUUGUUGUAUUGCAAAUGAAGUCAAGCCUUCCUUUGCGCUGUACUUCUCCCAAGGUUCACAUCAUUAAUCAACUUUGUACUUCUAGUAAAGGUUUGCCUUUUGUUAUGCUCGUCGGUUUGCUGCAAUAAUGCAUGGGAUUAAUUAUGUUUAUUGUGAAAUGGCUUUAUCUGAUGGAAGUGAAGUCUAAUUAUGAAACACUUAAUGUUUGAAAUUACAUGGCAGUCAUGUUUGUAACUACAUCAUUAUGAAUCUGAUUGUGUGAGAAACUGAUACAGUGAAAAUAGAUAGGAAAGUUCUUUUGUUGUCAGUGGCGAGCUUGUACCAAAAUGUGGAUUGAUUCAUAAGUAGAAAAUAAUGAUACUAAACUCUGCCCCUGUUGAUGUGCUCUUUGAAGUUGAAGAGAUCAAUCCUACGUCAUGGAUGCGUGAGAGAAAUUGACCCGCAACUACUCUCUGUGACCAAUUGAUAGAAUCACGUCAAUGCCAAACAGAGUCUCACUGAUAAAGUUAUCAAAUUAUUCAACGUCAUCACCCAAACAACGACUAAAUUAAAGUAGCCGUUUACAUCAAAGUUGUUUGUAAGAAACUUGGGCACGCAAUCGCUUGUUGUCGGCAUGCUUGCCCCACUGCCAAGAUUUGUUAGCUAAGCAUUCAUCUACUCACAGUAGACCUAACAGAGAUAUAUAAUUGCAUAAUUCCUCUUGGCUGCACACUGGGAGGUUUGAAAUACAAGUACCUGGAUUUCUUGUAGAUAAGAGCAUUCCACAAGAGUAGCUUUCAUGGUCAUAGAAAAUAGAUACUGAACUUCCAUCCUACCCGUAUGCACUGUGCAUUGUUUAUGUCCUUUCACUUUCAUUUUAAUCAUUCAAGGAAAACAUGAAAUCUUUUUUUUCGACAUCUGCAAGGUUGAUAUUGCUUACUCAAUAUGGAUAUUUAUAGCAGCAUAACUGGAUAAGUGAUGUAUAUGCCUUGUGUGGCACUCGUAGCAAUAUGCAGUCCAGUAAUGCUGGGGGGCAUAAAUCAAUUUAUAUUUUGUUAUUCAAUGGUACAUCAACCUACGGACAUCAAUGGAUAUUUUGUGGCAUACAUAAACCUACGGACAAUAAUGGAUGUGUUUGUGGAAUUAUAGGUGGUAGAUAUCUUUGUUGACUUGGAGAUUAGACGGGAAGGAAGAGAAGACUAAAGAAAAUACUUAGAUUUAUGCCUUGGGUAUCUCUCAUUUAAAGCUGUAGACAGAAACGGAAUGUUAUGUCUUCAGAACCUAGAUGUUUGGAUCUUAUCUGCUGCUACUAAGUGUCUUUUUCAGCUCAUGUGUUAUCUAAUAAGCAUGGAGCCUUUUUAUUAGACUGAAUUAGCUUGCAUGCUAGUUAUGGAUAAGCAGAUCCUUUGGCAUAGAGUCAUGAAUCGAAUCUAUAAACGAUAAUAUUUUUUAUUUCACUUAGAAUAUGCUAUCUUUUACUAUGUUCAUUUGAUCAAAAGCGUCAUCUUGUACAAUUCAACUUUUAUCCCAAAAGCAUCAUGCAACAUUUCUUUUGUCAAAGUUGGAGAAAAGUUGGGCAUCCAUCAGCAUUUUCUUGAUUCUCGCGAACAUUUUUUCUUAUUCACUACAUAAGUUAUGAGAUUAAGAGUUGAUUGGCUCACUGCUUUGUUUGAAAUUAUAAUUGACUGCAUUUUUGGAUGACUUGUUAUUUUUCCAACAGGGAACAGUUCGAUCCAAAAGUUUUCACAGAUGCAAAUUCCUUGAUGCCAUAGACAUUGGAUGCAGAUGAGCAUUCUAUCUCUCUCAGUCUUGACAUAGAUUCUGCAGUUGUAGCAAGAAAUCUCUGUUUGCUUGCUGGUUGGUCCACUUUUUAGGUGUUCUUAGGUAGGAAAAACAAGCCACAGUAUGGAUUUGUGAUAUUUUUUAGACAACAGGUCAACAGCAACAAUAGCGUCGUCGCUGUCUGUUAAGGAACAAUCCCAAGAGGCGCACUGCAAACAAGGAUACAGUUCAGGUCUCUUGUUCUUUCUUUUCCCCCACUCCAUCCCCGCUGCAUUCAUUCCUAGACAAAGCUUAACCCUUCAUGUGUUCCUUUCAUCUUUUGGGCAGGAAAAACAUCUCUGCACCAACCAGGAGAAUAUCAGUGGGAGCAGUGUCCAGAAAGGCGGCCGCUUAUGGCUCGGCGGCAUAUAGGCUCCAGACGACGCGCUCUCAUCUCGCUCACUGGUCGUUGGUCGAUUUAUCCUGCAUAAUCGGUGAUUUGGCGCUUGUCUGCGGUGUCACAACUGUCGAGCGCCUUACUGAACACUGAGUGCAGUGAGUGAGAAGUUAUGUUCUCAAAUGUCUGGUGCAGAGACCAGAGUGUCUCCAUCUACGGGCUUGCUUUUCUUCCAUGUGCCAGAGAUUCCUUAUGUACUUGGCACAUUUUUGUUAGUGUUCUAGUGUGUUCUGUCACCUGUUUUACCUCUGUCAGAUAUAUAAAUUGUAUCUAUGCAGAAAUGUGAAUUGAUCAAAUGAAGCUUUAUUUUUCGAGAGAGGAAAUGAUAAAUGGAGCUUAAAUUUACUUUGUAGUGUAGUCAAUCAAGCUUAAAUUUACUCCUUUUUUU